This 602-nucleotide ribosomal RNA is filed under the name uncultured bacterium. RNAcentral describes it as "bacterial SSU rRNA". It matches the Rfam family "Bacterial small subunit ribosomal RNA", at positions 917 to 1519 of the family's 1533-position model. The record is from RNAcentral.
GGGCCCGCACAAGUGGUGGAGCAUGUGGUUUAAUUCGACGCUACGCGAAGAACCUUACCUGGGUUUGACAUGCACGGGAAUCUACCAGAGAUGGUAGCGUCCUUCGGGACUCGUGCACAGGUGCUGCAUGGCUGUCGUCAGCUCGUGCCGUGAGGUGUUGGGUUAAGUCCCGCAACGAGCGCAACCCUUACUUUUAGUUGCCAUCGGGUAAUGCCGGGCACUCUAGAGGGACUGCCAGCAUAAGCUGGAGGAAGGUGGGGAUGACGUCAAGUCAGCAUGGCCCUUACGUCCAGGGCUACACACGUGCUACAAUGGCCGGUACAAAGGGCAGCCAACCCGCGAGGGGGAGCGAAUCUCAAAAAACCGGUCUCAGUUCGGAUUGUAGGCUGCAACUCGCCUACAUGAAGUCGGAAUCACUAGUAACCGCAGAUCAGCUACGCUGCGGUGAAUACGUUCCCGGGCCUUGUACACACCGCCCGUCACGUUAUGAAAGUUUGUUGUACCCGAAGUCGCUGGGCUAACCGCAAGGAGGCAGGCGCCGAAGGUAUGAUAGAUGAUUGGAACGAAGUCGUAACAAGGUAGCCGUAUCGGAAGGUGCGGCU